CUGUUAGAGAACGGUGCUAGCGAGCGCUUGCAAAGGUUUUGAUACCUAGUUACUUUGCAAGCAUCUUUUACAUUGUCUUUCUCUUUUGCAAAUACCAAUUGGCUAGUAUUUGCAAGGUAUGAAAGAAAAAUAAAUGUAACCAGUAAAGUACGGUGUGAUUUUCUUCUGACCAUUUCGGCGAAAGACCAAAGAAGAAGUAUUUGUGUGCUAGUUUGGUACUUAACAGUACAAAAAGAGGAUGGAGAAGUUAGGAAUGACCUUGUAGAGUUCUAGUGGAAUUAGAGAGCUGUAUGAUGAGGUUUAUAAAGAUAGGUUCC
RNAcentral lists this long non-coding RNA (317 nucleotides) under Trifolium pratense (red clover). RNAcentral's name for it is "long non-coding RNA (TPRA_LNC008088)". Lineage: Eukaryota; Viridiplantae; Streptophyta; Magnoliopsida; Fabales; Fabaceae. The record is from RNAcentral.